Molecule: ribosomal RNA, 640 nt
Filed under: uncultured Basidiomycota
Lineage: Eukaryota; Fungi; Basidiomycota
Description: LSU rRNA
Rfam family: Eukaryotic large subunit ribosomal RNA
Source: RNAcentral
AAAUCAGGUAGGACUACCCGCUGAACUUAAGCAUAUCAAUAAGCGGAGGAAAAGAAACUAACAAGGAUUCCCCUAGUAACUGCGAGUGAAGAGGGAAGAGCUCAAAUUUAAAAUCUGUCAGUCUUUGGCUGGCCGAGUUGUAAAUUAGAGAAGUGCCUAUCUGCGCUGGCCUGUGCAAAAGUCUCUUGGAAAAGGGCAUCAUAGAGGGUGACAAUCCCGUCUUUGGUACAGAGCUCCAGGGCUUCAUGAUGCGCUCUCGAUGAGUCGAGUUGUUUGGGAAUGCAGCUCUAAAUGGGUGGUAAAUUCCAUCUAAAGCUAAAUAUUGGCGAGAAACCGAUAGCGCACAAGUACCGUGAGGGAAAGAUGAAAAGAACUUUGAAAAGAGAGUUAAACAGUACGUGAAAUUGUUGAAAGGGAAACGCUUGAAGUCAGUCGUGUCCUUCAGAAAUCAACCUGACCUUGGUCUGGCUUACUUUCUGGUGGAUGGGUCAGCAUCAAUUUUGAUCAUUGGAUAAAGGCCUUGGGAAAGUGACAUCUCCGGAUGUGUUAUAGCCCUUGGUUCAUAUACAGUGGUUGGGAUUGAGGAACUCAGUGUGAACUUGGGGCUUUGGCCUACAACACGCGCUUAGGAUGCUGGCAU